GACUCAGUAGUGAAAAUAUCACGCCCGAAUCCGCUAUUGCAAUUGCAACGUAUGCGACAUAUUCGCGGGCGAUCCUGGUUCGAAUCCAGGCUGGGUCG
This is a non-coding RNA of Mycena vitilis, 98 nucleotides long. The record is from the annotation of a GenBank genome assembly. NCBI's taxonomy places the organism in Eukaryota, Fungi, Basidiomycota, Agaricomycetes, Agaricales, Mycenaceae.